Molecule: ribosomal RNA, 674 nt
Filed under: Paraclostridium ghonii
Lineage: Bacteria; Bacillati; Bacillota; Clostridia; Peptostreptococcales; Peptostreptococcaceae
Description: bacterial SSU rRNA
Rfam family: Bacterial small subunit ribosomal RNA
Source: RNAcentral
CGAAGCCUGAUGCAGCAACGCCGCGUGAGCGAUGAAGGCCUUCCGGUCGUAAAGCUCUGUCCUCAAGGAAGAUAAUGACGGUACUUGAGGAGGAAGCCCCGGCUGACUACGUGCCAGCAGCCGCGGUAAUACGUAGGGGGCUAGCGUUAUCCGGCAUUACUGGGCGUAAAGGGUGCGUAGGCGGUCUUUCAAGCCAGAAGUGAAAGGCUACGGCUCAACCGUAGUAAGCUUUUGGAACUGUAGGACUUGAGUGCAGGAGAGGAGAGUGGAAUUCCUAGUGUAGCGGUGAAAUGCGUAGAUAUUAGGAGGAACACCAGUAGCGAAGGCGGCUCUCUGGACUGUAACUGACGCUGAGGCACGAAAGCGUGGGGAGCGAACAGGAUUAGAUACCCUGGUAGUCCACGCCGUAAACGAUGAGUACUAGGUGUCGGGGGUUACCCCCCUCGGUGCCGCAGCUAACGCAUUAAGUACUCCGCCUGGGAAGUACGCUCGCAAGAGUGAAACUCUAAGGAAUUGACGGGGACCCGCACAAGUAGCGGAGCAUGUGGUUUAAUUCGAAGCAACGCGAAGAACCUUACCUAAGCUUGACAUCCCACUGACCUCUCCUUAAUCGGAGAUUUCCCUUUCGGGGACAGUGGUGACAGGUGGUGCAUGGUUGUCGUCAGCUCGUGUCG